This 238-nucleotide ribosomal RNA is filed under the name Dichrometra palmata. Its description in RNAcentral is "Lamprometra palmata partial 18S ribosomal RNA". It matches the Rfam family "Eukaryotic small subunit ribosomal RNA", at positions 1406 to 1645 of the family's 1831-position model. Lineage: Eukaryota; Metazoa; Echinodermata; Crinoidea; Comatulida; Mariametridae. The record is from RNAcentral.
ACUNCUUAGAGGGNCAAGUGGCGUUUAGCCACGCGAGAUUGAGCAAUAACAGGUCUGUGAUGCCCUUAGAUGUUCGGGGCCGCACGCGCGCUACACUGAAGGAAUCAGCGUGUGUCUGCCCUUGGCCGGCAGGUCUGGGUAAUCCGUUGAACCUCUUUCGUGAUUGGGAUAGGGAAUUGUAAUUAUUUCCCUUGAACNAGGAAUUCCCAGUAAGCGCGAGUCAUCAGCUCGCGUUGAU